This 433-nucleotide ribosomal RNA is filed under the name uncultured bacterium. Its description in RNAcentral is "partial 16S ribosomal RNA". It matches the Rfam family "Bacterial small subunit ribosomal RNA", at positions 29 to 507 of the family's 1533-position model. The record is from RNAcentral.
AACGGACGCUGGCGGCAUGCCUAACACAUGCAAGUCGAACGAGACCUUCGGGUCUAGUGGCGCACGGGUGCGUAACGCGUGGGAACCUGCCCUUAGGUUCGGAAUAACUCCCCGAAAGGGGUGCUAAUACCGGAUAAUGUCUUCGGACCAAAGAUUUAUCGCCUUUGGAUGGGCCCGCGUUGGAUUAGCUAGUUGGUAGGGUAAAAGCCUACCAAGGCGACGAUCCAUAGCUGGUCUGAGAGGAUGAUCAGCCACACUGGGACUGAGACACGGCCCAGACUCCUACGGGAGGCAGAAGUGGAGAAUAUUGGAAAAUGGGCGAAAGCCUGAUCCAGCAAUGCCGCGUGAGUGAUGAAGGCCUUAGGGUUGUAAAGCUCUUUUACCCGGGAUGAUAAUGACAGUACCGGGAGAAUAAGCUCCGGCUAACUCCGUG